RNAcentral lists this ribosomal RNA (406 nucleotides) under uncultured bacterium. RNAcentral describes it as "partial 16S ribosomal RNA". It matches the Rfam family "Bacterial small subunit ribosomal RNA", at positions 30 to 526 of the family's 1533-position model. The record is from RNAcentral.
AUUGAACGCUGGCGGCAGGCCUAACACAUGCAAGUCGAACGAGUGGCGGACGGGUGAGUAAUGCCUGGGAAUCUGGCUUAUGGAGGGGGAUAACGACUGGAAACGGUCGCUAAUACCGCAUACCAGAGGAUGGGCCCAAAUGGGAUUAGGUAGUAGGUGGGGUAAGGGCUAACAAAGCCGAAGAUCCCUAGCUGGUCUGCGCGGAUGACCAGCCACACCGGGACUGAGACACGGCCCAGACUCCUACGGGAGGCAGCAGUGGGGAAUAUUGCCCAAUGGGCGCAACCCUGACGCAGCCAUGCAGCGUGAAUGAAGAAGGCCUUCGGGUUGUAAAGUUCUUUCGGUGACGAGGCGUUACUCACAGAAGAAGCACCGGCUAACUCCGUGCCAGCAGCCGCGGUAAUAC